UGCGGAAGGGGCGGGGUAGAGCGGGGGCGCAGCGCGAUGGUUCUGUCUGCGGGCCAGGCCCCAACCCCCUCGCGGCGGUUCGAGUUUCUGAGCCCGAAGGACGCGGCCUCGGCCAAUCCCAGGGCUCCAGGGCGCGUUUAAAAUGCAGCUGGACAGAUGUGCAGACGAGAGGCCCAGCGCUGACCUGGAUCCUGAAGCAAGAGGGACAUCCCAGACAGGGGUCCUCCCUGAGGGUGCCCGGACCUCAGGUCCCACCAGAGGUACUUCGAUCCCCAGGACACUCGUGGUCAGGCACAACCUAGAUCUCGGAUGUCAGGUGGCACUGCUUUUUCAACCCCUUGGUCAUGAGGAGCUGUACUCUGGCAUGGAAAUGGUAAAACCAAAUGAUGGAGCACCAACACAGUGAUUCUCAAGAUGCCCGGGAAAGUGUCUGUGGGUCUUAACCACCCCAAAUCUCCUGGGAUGUGUGGGUCUGUUUAGAGAGGUAGCUGGGGCUAAGAACCAGUACGCAAUCCACAGCAGCUGGAAUGCGCCGCAGUGUGGGAUCGCACCAGGGAGGCAGCCUCACAACCCCACUGAGCAGGCAGAUGGUCCUGCCACAGCGGGGGACGGGCCUCUCUCAUCCUCUCUGGCCUCGCCCUGAGCUCAGACCCCUGACUCGGCUCCAGUUGGUAUUUACCCAGGGAAUGUUUGGCCCCUCCAUGCAAUGCAUGACCAAGUCUGAGUCCCUCACUUCCAAGUUGAGGAAACUGAGGCCCAGAAACAAAUGCUUGCCCAUGGUCACUUUCCUUUAUCGCUCUACCAAACAGAGAGCGUGACAGGGUAACAUGUAACACAUGGCGGGCAGCGGGUACCACAGCACGCACACACAGGACUCAUCAUGGUGGGAACUUGUGGGGCUCCGAGGGUGGUGGCCUGAGGGACACACAUCCUGAAGGCUGAGCGGUUGUUGGGCAGAUGGCGGAGGAGGAGACAGCACGAGGAAGGCCAGGGCUGAGCAAUGGUGAAUUCAUGAGAAGCACAGGUAGGUGCUUGGGCUUGAAGAGUCAGGAAGGGGCCAGGCUGUGGGGCUGGGUGGAGGAUGCUUCCUGACUUUGGUAGCAUGGUCCCUUCCGUAGGAGUCUGAGAGGUAACCACAGCAACCACAAUGAUGACCAACCCCGUCCCACUCUGCACCUGGAUUCUAAAGCAGCCCUCACUGCAGUGCCGUAGCAACCCCACGAGGAGGGGCCACCCGCCCUUCUGGAUCGGACAUGGGUUCCUAUUGGUCUCCACAAAGCCCAAAUCAAUAAGUGUGGGUACAGGUACUUGUGGAUGCCCAAGGACUCUGGUUUGGCCGGAGGAGAGUUUUGUGAAAAAAUAAAUAAAGCACCGUGUCGACUGCU
This is a long non-coding RNA of Heterocephalus glaber (naked mole-rat), 1385 nucleotides long. RefSeq lists it as uncharacterized. NCBI's taxonomy places the organism in Eukaryota, Metazoa, Chordata, Mammalia, Rodentia, Bathyergidae. The record is from RefSeq and is a predicted model, not a curated record.